Molecule: ribosomal RNA, 253 nt
Filed under: uncultured bacterium
Lineage: Bacteria
Description: partial 16S ribosomal RNA
Rfam family: Bacterial small subunit ribosomal RNA
Source: RNAcentral
UACGUAGGGUGCAAGCGUUGUCCGGAAUUAUUGGGCGUAAAGAGCUCGUAGGCGGUUUGUCGCGUCGGCUGUGAAAACCUGAGGCUCAACCUCGGGCCUGCAGUCGAUACGGGCAAACUAGAGUUCGGUAGGGGAGACUGGAAUUCCUGGUGUAGCGGUGGAAUGCGCAGAUAUCAGGAGGAACACCGGUGGCGAAGGCGGGUCUCUGGGCCGUUACUGACGCUGAGGAGCGAAAGCGUGGGGAGCGAACAGG